GGCUUUGUGGUGUAAGAGCACAUAGAUUUGCAAAAUCUAAAGAAUUUUUAAAUUUAAGCUU
This 61-nucleotide transfer RNA is filed under the name Argulus japonicus. Its description in RNAcentral is "tRNA-Cys". The record is from RNAcentral. Lineage: Eukaryota; Metazoa; Arthropoda; Ichthyostraca; Arguloida; Argulidae.